This 425-nucleotide ribosomal RNA is filed under the name uncultured bacterium. Its description in RNAcentral is "bacterial SSU rRNA". It matches the Rfam family "Bacterial small subunit ribosomal RNA", at positions 356 to 773 of the family's 1533-position model. The record is from RNAcentral.
GGGGAAUAUUGGACAAUGGGCGAAAGCCUGAUCCAGCAAUGCCGCGUGGGUGAAGACGGCCUGCGGAUUGUAAAGCCCUUUAGGCGGGGAGGAACGACGGGACGUGAAUAGCGUUUCGGAGUGACGUUACCCGCGGAAGAAGCACCGGCUAACUCCGUGCCAGCAGCCGCGGUAAUACGGAGGGUGCGAGCGUUAAUCGGAAUUACUGGGCGUAAAGCGUGCGUAGGCGGAUGGGUCAGUCAGCCGUGAAAGCCCCGGGCUUAACCUGGGAACGGCGGUUGAGACGGCCCGUCUUGAGUGGGCUAGAGGAUCGUGGAACUCCCGGUGUAGCGGUGAAAUGCGUAGAGAUCGGGAAGAACACCGAUGGCGAAGGCAGCGAUCUGGGGCCACACUGACGCUGAGGCACGACGGCGUGGGGAGCAAAC